UCAUACAUGCAGUCGAGCGCGAAACACCUUCGGGUGAUGUAGAGCGGCAAACGGGUGAGUAACAGGUGGAUAAUCUGCCCUCUGGCGGGGGAUAACGGCUGGAAACGGCCGCUAAUACCGCAUGUGGUUGCCGGUGCUUUGGCACUGGCAAAGAAAGGUUCACGGCGUCACCAGAGGAUGAGUCCGCCCCCCAUUAGCUUGUUGGUAAGGUAACGGCUUACCAAGGCUUCGAUGGGUAGCCGAGCUGAGAGGUUGAUCGGCCACACUGGGACUGAGAUACGGCCCAGACACCUACGGGUGGCAGCAGUAGGGAAUAUUGCGCAAUGGACGAAAGUCUGACGCAGCCAUGCCGCGUGAGUGAUGAAGGCCUUCGGGUCGUAAAGCUCUUUUCUGGGGGAAGAACAAGUCGGGAGUGGAAAGCCCUGGCCCUGACGGUACCUCAGGAAUAAGUAACGGCUAACUCCGUGCCAGCAGCCGCGGUAAUACGGAGGUUACGAGCGUUGUUCGGAUUAACUGGGCGUAAAGGGAGCGCAGGCGGUUUGGAUAGUCUGAAGUGAAAGCCCGAGGCUCAACCUCGGAAGUGCUUCAGAAACUUCCAAACUUGAGUACGUGAGAGGAGUGCGGAAUUCCAGGUGUAGCGGUGAAAUGCGUAGAUAUCUGGAGGAACACCGGUGGCGAAAGCGGCACUCUGGCACGACACUGACGCUGAGGCUCGAAAGCGUGGGGAGCGAACGGGAUUAGAUACCCCGGUAGUCCACGCCGUAAACGUUGUACACUAGGUGUGGGAGGUAUCGACUCCUUCCGUGCCGAAGCUAACGCAUUAAGUGUACCGCCUGGGGAGUACGCUCGCAAGAGUGUAACUCAAAGGAAUUGACGGGGGCCCGCACAAGCGGUGGAGCAUGUGGUUUAAUUAUGCAACGCGAAGAACCUUACCCAGGCUUGACAUCCCGCGACCGCUCUGGAAACAGAGUUUUCCCUUCGGGGACGCGGUGACAGGUGUUGCAUGGCUGUCGUCAGCUCGUGUCGUGAGAUGUUGGGUUAAGUCCCGCAACGAGCGCAACCCCUAUCCUUAGUUACCAGCACGUUAUGGUGGGCACUCUAAGGAGACUGCCGGUGAUAAACCGGAGGAAGGUGGGGACGACGUCAAGUCAUCACGGCCCUUAUGGUCUGGGGCUACACACGUGCUACAAUGGCCAGUACAGAGGGUUGCAAUACCGCGAGGUGGAGCCAAUCUCAAAAAGCCGGUCUCAGUUCGGAUUGGAGUCUGCAACUCGACUCCAUGAAGUUGGAAUCGAUAGUAAUCGCGUAUCAGCUACGACGCGGUGAAUACGUUCCCGGGCCUUGUACCCACCGCCCGUCACAUGACCCGAGUCGGGUUGCACCCGAAGUCACUGCCCAACCCGCAAGGGAGGGAGUGC
This 1418-nucleotide ribosomal RNA is filed under the name uncultured prokaryote. RNAcentral's name for it is "partial 16S ribosomal RNA". It matches the Rfam family "Bacterial small subunit ribosomal RNA". The record is from RNAcentral.